UACCAGCACCCCGAGUGGUCGGGACGUUUAUUGGGCCUAAAGCAUCCGUAGCCGGUUCUACAAGUCUUCCGUUAAAUCCACCUGCUUAACAGGUGGGCUGCGGAAGAUACUAUAGAGCUAGGAGGCGGGAGAGGCAAGCGGUACUCGAUGGGUAGGGGUAAAAUCCGUUGAUCCAUUGAAGACCACCAGUGGCGAAGGCGGCUUGCCAGAACGCGCUCGACGGUGAGGGAUGAAAGCUGGGGGAGCAAACCGG
RNAcentral lists this ribosomal RNA (253 nucleotides) under uncultured bacterium. RNAcentral's name for it is "partial 16S ribosomal RNA". It matches the Rfam family "Archaeal small subunit ribosomal RNA", at positions 474 to 727 of the family's 1478-position model. The record is from RNAcentral.